This 492-nucleotide ribosomal RNA is filed under the name Klebsiella pneumoniae. RNAcentral describes it as "bacterial SSU rRNA". It matches the Rfam family "Bacterial small subunit ribosomal RNA", at positions 11 to 496 of the family's 1533-position model. Lineage: Bacteria; Pseudomonadati; Pseudomonadota; Gammaproteobacteria; Enterobacterales; Enterobacteriaceae. The record is from RNAcentral.
GUUUGAUUCAUGCUCAGAUUGAACGCUGGCGGCAGGCCUAACACAUGCAAGUCGAGCGGUAGCACAGAGAGCUUGCUCUCGGGUGACGAGCGGCGGACGGGUGAGUAAUGUCUGGGAAACUGCCUGAUGGAGGGGGAUAACUACUGGAAACGGUAGCUAAUACCGCAUAAUGUCGCAAGACCAAAGUGGGGGACCUUCGGGCCUCAUGCCAUCAGAUGUGCCCAGAUGGGAUUAGCUAGUAGGUGGGGUAACGGCUCACCUAGGCGACGAUCCCUAGCUGGUCUGAGAGGAUGACCAGCCACACUGGAACUGAGACACGGUCCAGACUCCUACGGGAGGCAGCAGUGGGGAAUAUUGCACAAUGGGCGCAAGCCUGAUGCAGCCAUGCCGCGUGUGUGAAGAAGGCCUUCGGGUUGUAAAGCACUUUCAGCGGGGAGGAAGGCGUUAAGGUUAAUAACCUUGGCGAGGACGUACCCGCAGAAGAAGCACCGG